Perca flavescens (yellow perch) is the source of this 458-nucleotide long non-coding RNA. RefSeq lists it as uncharacterized. NCBI's taxonomy places the organism in Eukaryota, Metazoa, Chordata, Actinopteri, Perciformes, Percidae. The transcript is spliced from 4 exons. The record is from RefSeq and is a predicted model, not a curated record.
CCCUCUCUCUGAAAGGAUUUAAAAACAAACGUCCGUCACAGAAUAAACUUUUGGGCGGCGGCCGUGACGGUACACUCCAACAGACCCCUCCAGCCAGGCUGCAACCAUACAGUCUGUGGCUGCGACAAAGAACAACAACGAGGAACACAACUGGGAAGCAGCCACCAAUCAGUUGUGUUCCUGCUGUGCAACUUAUUUGGAAGCUCCUGCCAGUGAUCAUUGCUUGUGAUCAAGUCCGAGUUCAUGUGAAUCACAACAGUUCACUUGAAGACAAAGUUCUUGGCGCAGUUGGACAAGUACUCCACCAAACUGCUGGAGGUCAUCAGGAGCAAGGGAGGAGUUGUGAAAGAGAAGACCACCAGGACCUUGCAGGUUUUAGAUGAGACUGUGGACAUCAACAUCAGAAGAGAAGGCAUCGUCAAAUCUCAGAUCUACCUGGGCAAACCUGUUCAGCACCU